Molecule: ribosomal RNA, 364 nt
Filed under: uncultured Gammaproteobacteria bacterium
Lineage: Bacteria; Pseudomonadati; Pseudomonadota; Gammaproteobacteria
Description: SSU rRNA
Rfam family: Bacterial small subunit ribosomal RNA
Source: RNAcentral
CAGCUAGUUGGUGAGGUAAUGGCUCACCAAGGCGACGAUCCGUAACUGGUCUGAGAGGAUGAUCAGUCACACUGGAACUGAGACACGGUCCAGACUCCUACGGGAGGCAGCAGUGGGGAAUAUUGGACAAUGGGCGAAAGCCUGAUCCAGCCAUGCCGCGUGUGUGAAGAAGGUCUUCGGAUUGUAAAGCACUUUAAGUUGGGAGGAAGGGCAUUUACCUAAUACGUAAGUGUUUUGACGUUACCGACAGAAUAAGCACCGGCUAACUCUGUGCCAGCAGCCGCGGUAAUACAGAGGGUGCAAGCGUUAAUCAGAAUUACUGGGCGUAAAGCGGCGCGUAGGUGGUUUGUUAAGGUGGAUGUGA